This 196-nucleotide unclassified non-coding RNA is filed under the name plant metagenome. RNAcentral describes it as "partial contains small subunit ribosomal RNA, internal transcribed spacer 1, and 5.8S ribosomal RNA". The record is from RNAcentral.
UCUCCGUUGGUGAACCUGCGGAGGGAUCAUUACCGAGUUUACAACUCCCAAACCCCUGUGAACAUACCUAUCGUUGCCUCGGCGGUGCCCGCUCCGGCGGCCCGCCAGAGGACCCCCAAACUCUUGUUUUAUACAGUAUCUUCUGAGUAACACGAUUAAAUAAAUCAAAACUUUCAACAACGGAUCUCUUGGUUCU